ACAGAGGUCCCAAGCGUUGUUCGGAUUCACUGGGCGUAAAGGGUGCGUAGGUGGCGGGAGAAGUUCGAUGUGAAAUCUCCGGGCUCAACCCGGAAACGGCAUUGAAAACUCUCUUGCUAGAGGGUCGGAGGGGAGACUGGAAUUCUCGGUGUAGCAGUGAAAUGCGUAGAUAUCGAGAGGAACACCAGUGGCGAAGGCGAGUCUCUGGACGACUCCUGACACUGAGGCACGAAAGCGUGGGGAUCGAACAG
This 251-nucleotide ribosomal RNA is filed under the name uncultured prokaryote. RNAcentral's name for it is "partial 16S rRNA". It matches the Rfam family "Bacterial small subunit ribosomal RNA", at positions 525 to 775 of the family's 1533-position model. The record is from RNAcentral.